CAAUGCAGAGAUGAAGGACAUCAUACCACAAGACUAUUUGUGUGUGUAUAAGCCUGAUCAACAAGUAAAAAGAGUCAGAUCUCUCAAUUGCCAUGAUGACCAAGAUAUUCAACGGGGAAAUGUGGAAAGCUGCCAUAUUCCCAGUCAUUACUUUUCCGAAUCAUCUGUGCAGCAGUAGCAGCAGCACCGAGGAAUCCUACUUUCCUGAGUCCGACACCGAGAGGGCCAUCAAGGACUUCCCUGACUGGCAACAGACUGGAGUAGAGGCUGUAGCAGAGACAGCCUUUUU
Perca flavescens (yellow perch) is the source of this 289-nucleotide long non-coding RNA. RefSeq lists it as uncharacterized. The transcript has 3 exons. The record is from RefSeq and is a predicted model, not a curated record. NCBI's taxonomy places the organism in Eukaryota, Metazoa, Chordata, Actinopteri, Perciformes, Percidae.